UACAGAGGGUGCAAACGUUGUUCGGAAUUACUGGGCGUAAAGCGCGUGUAGGCUGUCUCGCAAGUCGGGUGUGAAAGCCCUGGGCUCAACCUAGGAAGUGCACUCGAAACUGCGAGACUUGAGUCCUGGAGAGGAAGGCGGAAUUCUCGGUGUAGAGGUGAAAUUCGUAGAUAUCGAGAGGAACACCGGUGGCGAAGGCGGCCUUCUGGACAGUGACUGACGCUGAGACGCGAAAGCGUGGGGAGCAAACAGG
Molecule: ribosomal RNA, 253 nt
Filed under: uncultured bacterium
Lineage: Bacteria
Description: partial 16S ribosomal RNA
Rfam family: Bacterial small subunit ribosomal RNA
Source: RNAcentral